GGGUCUAUAACUCAGUUGGUAGAGUGCUGCUUUUGCACGGCAGAUGUCAGCGGUUCGAAUCCGCUUAGAUCCA
Molecule: transfer RNA, 73 nt
Filed under: Symbiochloris sp. SG-2018
Lineage: Eukaryota; Viridiplantae; Chlorophyta; Trebouxiophyceae; Trebouxiales; Trebouxiaceae
Description: tRNA-Ala
Rfam family: tRNA
About the family: Transfer RNA (tRNA) molecules are approximately 80 nucleotides in length. Their secondary structure includes four short double-helical elements and three loops (D, anti-codon, and T loops).
Source: RNAcentral